This 380-nucleotide ribosomal RNA is filed under the name uncultured organism. RNAcentral's name for it is "partial 16S ribosomal RNA". It matches the Rfam family "Bacterial small subunit ribosomal RNA", at positions 527 to 897 of the family's 1533-position model. The record is from RNAcentral.
GUAGGGGCCAAGCGUUAUCCGGAUUUAUUGGGGCGUAAAGAGCUCGUAGGCGGCUUGGGCAAGUCGGUCGUGAAAGUCCGAGGCUCAACCUCGGGAAUGCCGGGUCGAAACUGCCAUGGCUAGGGUUCGGUAGAGGAGAGUGGAAUUCUCGGUGUAGCGGUGAAAUGCGCAGAUAUCGAGAGGAACACCAGUAGCGAAGGCGGCUCUCUGGGCCGAUACCGACGCUGAGGAGCGAAAGCGUGGGGAGCAAACAGGAUUAGAUACCCUGGUAGUCCACGCCGUAAACGGUGAUCACUAGGUGUGGCGGACUCAUUGACGUCUGCUGUGCCGGCGCUAACGCAUUAAGUGAUCCGCCUGGGGAGUACGGCCGCAAAGGCUAA